AUGAUUCCGCACCUGCAAACUGGAUCUGAUGGAUACCUUGGUUCCGCGGUUGCUCCUAUGGACCAGGUGGAAAUUGCAAAGUUUUGCAAACAACUGAGAUCGCUGAAGCACGUUGAUAUCAUUGUGAGGCCUGUCAAGCUAAAGAAAGAAUACCAAAUCCACAAGUGUUGUGAUGUGAUGCAGCGAUGGCGGGCGUUUUGUGAUUACCUCUUCAAGCUUUUGCUUAUUGGAGACUCAGGUGUUGGCAAGUCAUGUCUGCUGUUAAGAUUUGCUGACGACUCAUACCUGGAUAGUUACAUCAGUACUAUUGGAGUUGAUUUUAAAAUAAGGACCGUGGAGCAGGAUGGAAAGACUAUCAAGCUGCAAAUCUGGGACAUUGCUAGGCAAGAACGUUUUAGAACUAUUACCAGCAGCUACUACCGAGGGGCCCAUGGGAUUAUUAUCGUCUAUGAUGUGACAGACCAAGAUAGCUUCAACAAUGUGAAGCAGUGGUUGAACGAGAUUGACCGCUAUGCCAGUGAGAAUGUGAACAAGCUUCUGGUGGGGAACAAAUGUGAUCUGGCUGACAAAAGAGCUGUGUCAUAUGAAACAGCAAAGGCAUUCGCUGAUGAGAUUGGCAUUCCAUUCAUGGAGACCAGUGCAAAGAACGCCCUGAAUGUUGAACAGGCUUUCAUGGCCAUGGCUGCUUCGAUCAAGGAUAGGUUUGGACCCACACUGAAACUAGCAUUCAUGAUGGUUUAUAUUAACGUGCUAGUCUAUGAACUUUAG
This 768-nucleotide ribosomal RNA is filed under the name Triticum aestivum (bread wheat). Its description in RNAcentral is "partial small subunit ribosomal RNA". Lineage: Eukaryota; Viridiplantae; Streptophyta; Magnoliopsida; Poales; Poaceae. The record is from RNAcentral.